RNAcentral lists this long non-coding RNA (320 nucleotides) under Solanum tuberosum (potato). RNAcentral's name for it is "long non-coding RNA (STUB_LNC003144)". The record is from RNAcentral. Lineage: Eukaryota; Viridiplantae; Streptophyta; Magnoliopsida; Solanales; Solanaceae.
CAUCUCGAGCUGAUGCUUUUGAUCCAAUAAGGAGGUCUGGUGGAAAUUCAUCUACGAGUAGUGAGGGAGAAACCAAGUCAGCUGAUGUUUUGUUUUCCCAGGGGGACGUUGGGUCCGGUAUCCCUGCACCAUGUACCAGUGGUAUACCUGCACCCUGUACCACCGGUAUACCUGCACCCUGUACCACGAGUCAAACUACUGCAUUUUCUGCAAUGGGUAGGAGUACAAUGUUUGAAGGUGUGACCAAUGGGCGUGGAGCAGCACCUGGAAACCUAAGUUGGGGUGGACCAGUUCAGGGAUAUACAAAUGUUGGUUUUGGA